RNAcentral lists this ribosomal RNA (253 nucleotides) under uncultured bacterium. RNAcentral describes it as "partial 16S ribosomal RNA". It matches the Rfam family "Bacterial small subunit ribosomal RNA", at positions 524 to 776 of the family's 1533-position model. The record is from RNAcentral.
UACGUAGGUGGCGAGCGUUGUUCGGAUUUAUUGGGCGUAAAGGGUCUGUAGGAGGUUCAUUAAAUUCGAGGUGAAAUCCCGAAGCUCAACUUCGGAAUUGCCUUGGAGACUGAUGGACUAGAGGACUGGAGAGGUAAGCGGAAUACCAGGUGUAGCGGUGGAAUGCGUAGAUAUCUGGUAGAACACCAAAAGCGAAGGCAGCUUACUGGACAGUUUCUGACUCUGAGAGACGAAAGCGUGGGGAGCAAACAGG